CCCCUUUUCACUCAGCUCUGCAUCGAACCAGCCACAGAAACGGUUCUCCUGGUUCCAUGUGCUCUCGCCGUGCCGGACCAUCACGAGGCGCCAGGCUAGGAGGCGGCCCUCAGCAGGCAGAGGAGGAGAGCCAGAGGAGCUGGUGCAGACCACAGCUUUGUGGAGAGGAGUCUGGCCUUGUGGAAGGUACCAGGCAGCAGCAGCAGAAUGGGCAAGGGCUGGGGCUGAGCCGGGUUUCCAGGACAAAGGGGGAAAGGGCCCCUGUCUUUCCUCCGGGGUCCCUUUGUCAAGGUCUCAUCCAUACAUGCCCCAUGCUCCCACCCUAUCUGCCCUCACCCAAGCCACGCUCACUCUCCUAGCCGAAACCACCUUGAAAAAGAGAAAUCCAAGGGGGUUUGGGGGCAGGACUGAGGACUGUCAGAAGUCUUGAUUGUUAGGUAAAUGCUCAGCUUAGCAGGAACCCACAACGUAGGCUGAAGGGUGGCACGGAGUUGAGUCUAGGACCAAGACUUCUGCAUUCAGGUUUGGGGGAUGAGAGCCACCAAGGCAGGGAAGAGACUAUGAGCAAUAAAGUCACAAUUGGGGCCCUAAUGAAGGGGCCAUGGCCAGACCCUUGGGCAUGGGCCCCAUCCAGGGCCUCCCAUUUCCUCCCACCCCAGUGACCACACUGUCACCUGCGACACUUCUGAUAACAGGAGCGGGUAGGUGAGAGGCCAGCAGAGGGACCACCACUCUGAGACUUGGAUCUGAGUGUGCAAGAAACCCUCGACAGGCCUCCCUCCAUCCCUGCUGGCCUACCUGGGGAGGGGCUCCUGGCUUGGGGCCUGUGAAGCUAAGGCUCUGUACCCAAAGGUUGGCAGACAAGUCCCAGUGGGCAAAGUCCUGUCGGCUGCCAGGACCCCCAAGGCUGGCAGGUGGAACCCAUCCCUCCUAGCAGUGCCAUGCGCAGGUCUCACUGUUCCACACUGAUCCUGAUUGAAGCCACAUCUCCUCAUCUGCUUUUGUCCCUUUGACCAAGAGUUGAUUCACUAGCCCAACUAAACAUGACUGAGGACCAGGCUCUGGCAGUCCCACAGGGGCCAGACAUGAAGCCCAUAUUUCAGUGGAGGAGGGAUCGUACCAGCAGCUAAACAUGCCUACCGUAGAUAGCACCAGAUGCUAGGAAGGAAGGACCAUAAUGUACUGGGAGAGAUGGGAAAGGAGAGGCCGGGGACAGCCCUGAGGUGACAUGUGAGUGGAAAGAGCGGAGUGCAAAGGCCUCAGCUAUGAUGAGUCCUACAGGGAGAGCAAUUCAGGUAGAGGGGUUGGCAAAGACCCAAGCCCUACAGAAAGCAAACAAGCUGGGGCAGCGACCAUCAGGGGCACAUGGCAGAGAGGUGGGCUUUGUGUCCCAACACAGUGGGAAUCACUGGAGACUUUGAAGCAUGGUCAUAUUUUCAAGUCACUUGCAGCUGUGUAGGAGUGGAAGUAGAAGCUGAGUACCCUGCAGGUCUCGGCAGCUUUGAUGAGAACAAGGCCGCUUAGCCAGGGCUGGGUGCAGAAGCAGUGGCAAGGAUCCCCCAGACCUGGGAGACCUCACUGCCAACCAAGCAGGAGGUGUCAAAAAGGAAAGGGGAGCCCAAAGAAGGGCUGGACUUCGGGGAAGCAAGCCCCUGCUUCUGACCCUUGGCUCCGGCUUGACUUUCCUUUGAUUCAUUUGACAAGUAGUUGCUGGCCUCUGCAGUGUGCCAGAGCUUUCUUGGAGGGGUACAGGGGUAGGAAAACCAAAAGCCACCCUCAGGGCCUCCAUCCAGGAAGGCAUAGCAUGGUGGGCGGCGAGGAAGGCUGCUGAGUCAACAAGGUGGUCCCAGGAAGGUGGAGGGAGCAUCUUCCCAUGUCUCUCCCACUGACAGCCACCAAUCCUGGACAGAUGCAGGAGCAGCUGUCAGUAGACAGAUAAGAAAAGGAGAUCAGAUUCAAAGUUCCGCAGAGAAGUGGUGAGGUAACAAGUAUUGCCUAGCCUGGACACACAGGCGGCUUGAAACCUCAAGUGCACCAACAGAAAGAGCUCCAGGAAGAAUCAGAGGAGUGGGAUGUGAAGCCCCUCGAAGUCAGGGUGCUCACAACGCUGGUGGACUGCAAAAUGACAGACGCACUCGGGACAACAACUUGGCUCUUAUGAAAUAAACAUAUACUUACCAAAUGACCCAGUAAUCCUGUGCCUAUUUACCCAAGAGAAAUGAAGACCCAUGUGUUACACGAAAACCUGUACAUGCAUGUCUGUAGCAGUACGAUUCAUCAUCUCCAAACCCUGGAAACAACCCAGACUUUUUUUCUUUUUAGGCAGACUCUUGCUCUGUCGC
This 2342-nucleotide long non-coding RNA is filed under the name Homo sapiens (human). RNAcentral describes it as "HSALNT0340567". The record is from RNAcentral. Lineage: Eukaryota; Metazoa; Chordata; Mammalia; Primates; Hominidae.